RNAcentral lists this long non-coding RNA (3202 nucleotides) under Paramuricea clavata. Lineage: Eukaryota; Metazoa; Cnidaria; Anthozoa; Malacalcyonacea; Plexauridae. The record is from RNAcentral.
CAGAGAGUCGCAGCUGUAUAAAACAUAUACAACGAUCCCUGUAUUUUCCGGUGCGCACUAUAUAAAUGCUUAAUGCGCACUUUUCCAAAAUAGAUUUUACGGAGAGGGGAAAUCCACUGCAAAUAAUGGUAAUGGCCCGCCCGCCCGCAUCAACUUUAAGUGAAGCUCCGGAUGAGAAACUAACUAUACAACAAAAUAGUGGCCUAAUUGUAUUACCUUGCUGUGCGUGACGCACAUUAGUUAUUUAAAACAAUUUCCGUUACGUUUUUUACUAAAAAGUUCCUCUUAUAGAAUUUAUAGGAAGUUUAUAUUUCAUAUUAUUCAUAUCUUUGACUAUGUAAGUAUCCCAGAAUAUCUCUACGAUUAGUGAAAUAUACUAAUCUAAUCACGACUAAACUAAACUACUCAUUUACAACAGGUUGAGAUGAAGGACAAGAUCAAAGAGAAAUCACAGUGCCCGCAAAGCCAAUGAUCAACGAGAGUGCUCAACAGGACCCAAAGACAUGUAUGUAUACAUUUUCGCGCGCACGAAAACUUUUCGUUUUAAAGGCAUAGUUCAGCCUUUUGAAUGAUGGCUUUUAAUGGGAAUGUCUAUAUUUGUUAAUGUCAUAACGACCCUGAGAACGAGAUUGUGCUCCAGUGAGCUCUAUAUAUCCGGAACAAGAACUUCAGUCAUUCGGCCUAUAAGGAAAGUGACGGUCGCUAUUGCUAUGAAGUCAAUAUAGCUAUAAAGGUCGUAAACAGUUUUAAUACCCUUUUUCCAAGCUAAUUCCAGUUCUUUCUGACGGACUGUGUCGCUAAACAAGUUAUCAGUUCAUAAAACCAUUUAAAGUGGCACUCGCGUCAAAAUUAUUAUUUUCUUACAGUCGAUUUCACGAAACUUUGACCACAAAUGUUCCGAACUUCGUCGCGAAGUUCGCAAGUUCAUAUUGGAAUUUACAAGCCAAUUUGUAAACAAAGUCGUCCCUGAUUGGUCACUGAAGUGGAAGAAGCCAAUCAAAUGCGUAGUUUACAAACUGGUAUGUGAAUCUCAUUAUGAACUUUUGAACUUCGCAACGAACUUCGCAACGAACUUCGGAACAUUUGUGGUCAAAGUUUCGUGAAAUCGACUGUAAACGAAAAUGCUCUUAAAACUGUAUAGUAACUUGUUUUGAAGAUUUUUAUUUCCAUGCUUAGUUCUUGAGAUAUUUUAUCUGUGACGUCAAUGACUCAAUUACAUAUAUAAUGAGAUAUCAGUAAUCGUUGUGUAUCUUUGCAAUUUUUGAUGGAUUUGUUUAAAAAAAUCAGUAUGCUUUAUGAUGUAGGUUAAAUUAACAAACAGGCCACAUCUUGAAAAGAUUUGAAGAAAAAAUAGCAAAGAUAUACAACAAUUACUGAUGCCUCAUUAUAUAUGUAAUUGAGUCAUUGACGUCACAUGGUUACAAACAAAAUAUCUCAAGAACUAAGCAUGGGAACAAAAAUUUUCAAAACAAGUUACUAUACAGUUUUAAGAGUAUUUUCGAUUAAGAAAAUAAAAAUUUUGACGUGAGUGCCACUUUAAUUAAAUCGAUGUAAAAAUACGAAAUUUUGGCACACUCAGUUGCCAAUUUCGUGUUGACCGCGCAGACAAAAACAAUAGAAAGGGACUGGAACUGAGGUCCAAUAGCUCUUUAAUUUCCUUUACUUUUUGGACUCGAGUUCUCACUCCAGAUAUAUAUGGAGCUCACUGCAUUGCUGUUGGAAGCGAAGCUGGAAAGACUGUAAAAUUAUAUGUGGUAUUAUUGGUCAUGCAUGUUAACUUUCUUCCUUUCAAAAUUUACGAAACUUCACCCUUGCGUCGACAAAAAUUGCGUUUAUCACGUGACAUGCUGAACUUUGCAUUUAAUUUCUAAAACGUGGUUAUGUUUUUAUCCGCAGUCGAGUGUGCGUGCGUUUGCCGCAAAUUGAUUAAAUUUUGGUUAAAUUUGGAUGAAAAUUGGAUGAGAAAUUAGCAAAAGUUUGUCUUACUUUAAUUGACUCUAGAAGUGCUUACGUCACGCACUUUUCAAUGAUCAAUGACGUAAGGACAGGCCAAGGUCAAGCAGGUCGGUUAGAUCGUUUGAAAGUUAAUCAGGCCUAAAGUUAAUUAUUAAGAAGUCACUAAAAGUUAUCGCGACGUUUCACUGAUAUGUUAUCGAGGAGGGAAGUGGAUACUGGAUAAUUUGUACAUAAUUUUAUAUAUUUUGGAGUACAUAAAUUAAACUUAAAGUCAGACAUCACCUGCUUCUUUCGAUGUUCUACCGACAUCCUAUUUCUACUAAAUAGCAUUGAAGGAUUAAGGUUCGUUGGAGUUGGGACAGAAUACUGUAUUCCCAAAAGCUGAAAAGGAGUAACUCAUUUCAUAUCGUGUGGAGGUAACUUGGAAACUUUCUUGGCACAAUAACAUAUUAAUUUCUUCCAGUUGGCCGCCUUUAUAUCUGCACACAGGUAUAUAUAUGUAGAUUAGUAGAUACGACUAAAGUUGCAGCGUUAUUCCUACAUGGUUGUAGACACAGGUCAUUAGCUAGUCGCUUGAUAAUCAUGCGAAAUAUCUCUCCUCUCACAAGGCAUUAUUUUAUUAGACAGAAGUUAUAAUGUGUCUAGUUUCGAGGCGAGGAAUAUUCUUGCGUUCGAGCAAGAAUAUUCUUCCGAUCUGUGUAAUGACAACAGGAUAAACGUUACGCUUAUUUCAACACAUACUAUAUAUACUGUACUGAGUGUAUACUAUAUGAAUAUAUUAAAACAACAUUGCUACAUGGUUGUACUUGUUUUAAGUUUUAACUAUUAGCGCUAACUGCCGGGCAAACUCAAACUUUAAGAAUCAAUAUUUUCGGAGAAACAAACUUUUAUUUUAAUAGUGGUAUACUUGUUGCAUAUUUCCAUACACGCGUAAAAAUUGAGAAAAUCAACAACUUGUUGCAAGUUGAUAGCGACAGGCGUGAACAAGGUUGUGUGGCCCGCUAUGAACAUGAUCAGUACUGUCAACACAAAGGCCCAUUUGCAUCAUGAAUGAUGACAUAGCAAAAUUAGGUAAUUUUAACCACCAUGACGAUACAUCUUUUCUCAGUUUUGCAGAGUUCGCUGUUAGAGAACAAUUUGCAAAAGCACUAACAAAUUUACGUAUUUGGAAUUGGAUCAACAUUCAAAGUCGAGAAAAGUAAGUCCAUUUAAUUUAUCACGUAUUUAUAUCUAUAAUCAAUUUGUA